Molecule: ribosomal RNA, 373 nt
Filed under: uncultured bacterium
Lineage: Bacteria
Description: bacterial SSU rRNA
Rfam family: Bacterial small subunit ribosomal RNA
Source: RNAcentral
GUAGGGAGCAAGCGUUGUCCGGAUUUAUUGGGCGUAAAGCGCGUGUAGGCGGCCAGGUAGGUCCGCUGUGAAAACCCGAGGCUCAACCUCGGGACGUCGGCGGAAACCAUCUGGCUAGAGUCCGGAAGAGGAGAGUGGAAUUCCCGGUGUAGCGGUGAAAUGCGCAGAUAUCGGGAAGAACACCCGUGGCGAAGGCGGCUCUCUGGGACGGUACUGACGCUGAGACGCGAAAGCGUGGGGAGCGAACAGGAUUAGAUACCCUGGUAGUCCACGCCGUAAACGAUGGGUGCUAGGUGUAGGCGGUGUCGACUCCGUCUGUGCCGAAGUUAACGCAUUAAGCACCCCGCCUGGGGAGUACGGCCGCAAGGCUAAA